UGGGGAAUUUUGGACAAUGGGCGCAAGCCUGAUCUAGCCAUGCCGCGUGUCUGAAGAAGGCCUUCGGGUUGUAAAGGACUUUUGUCAGGGAAGAAAAGGGCGGGGUUAAUACCCCUGUCUGAUGACGGUACCUGAAGAAUAAGCACCGGCUAACUACGUGCCAGCAGCCGCGGUAAUACGUAGGGUGCGAGCGUUAAUCGGAAUUACUGGGCGUAAAGCGGGCGCAGACGGUUACUUAAGCAGGAUGUGAAAUCCCCGGGCUCAACCUGGGAACUGCGUUCUGAACUGGGUGACUAGAGUGUGUCAGAGGGAGGUAGAAUUCCACGUGUAGCAGUGAAAUGCGUAGAGAUGUGGAGGAAUACCGAUGGCGAAGGCAGCCUCCUGGGAUAACACUGACGUUCAUGCCCGAAAGCGUGGGUAGCAAACA
Molecule: ribosomal RNA, 427 nt
Filed under: uncultured bacterium
Lineage: Bacteria
Description: partial 16S ribosomal RNA
Rfam family: Bacterial small subunit ribosomal RNA
Source: RNAcentral